RNAcentral lists this ribosomal RNA (186 nucleotides) under uncultured bacterium. RNAcentral describes it as "partial 16S ribosomal RNA". It matches the Rfam family "Bacterial small subunit ribosomal RNA", at positions 1315 to 1500 of the family's 1533-position model. The record is from RNAcentral.
CCUACAUGAAGUUGGAAUCGCUAGUAAUCGCGAAUCAGAAUGUCGCGGUGAAUACGUUCCCGGGUCUUGUACACACCGCCCGUCACACCACGAGAGUUUACAACACCCGAAGUCAGUGGCCUAACCGCAAGGAGGGAGCUGCCUAAGGUGGGGUAGAUGAUUGGGGUGAAGUCGUAACAAGGUACC